AUUGAACGCUGGCGGCAGGCCUAACACAUGCAAGUCGAACGGUAACAGGAAACUGCUUGCUGUUUCGCUGACGUGUGGCGGACGGGUGAGUCAUGUCUGGGAAACUGCCUGAUGGAGGGGGACUACUACUGGAAACGGUAGCUAAUACCGCACAACGACUCCCGCCCAAAGAGGGGGACUCUCAGGCCUCUUGCCAUAGGAUGCGCCCAGAUGGGGUUGGCUUGUUGGUGGGGUAGCGGCUCACCAAGGCGACGGCCCCUAGCUGCGCUGAGCGGUUGACCAGCCACACUGGAACUGAGACACGGUCCAGACUCCUACGGGAGGAAGCAGUGGGGAAUAUUGCACAAUGGGGGCAAGCCUGAUGCAGCCAUGCCGGGUGUAUGAAGAAGGCGUUCGGGUUGUAAAGUGCUUUCAGCGGGGAGGAAGGGAGUAAAGAUAAUACCUUUGCUCAUUGACGUUACCCGCAGAAGAAGCACCGGCUAACUCCGUG
This 490-nucleotide ribosomal RNA is filed under the name uncultured bacterium. Its description in RNAcentral is "partial 16S ribosomal RNA". It matches the Rfam family "Bacterial small subunit ribosomal RNA", at positions 30 to 507 of the family's 1533-position model. The record is from RNAcentral.